RNAcentral lists this ribosomal RNA (522 nucleotides) under uncultured haloarchaeon. RNAcentral's name for it is "bacterial SSU rRNA". It matches the Rfam family "Archaeal small subunit ribosomal RNA", at positions 1 to 526 of the family's 1478-position model. Lineage: Archaea; Methanobacteriati; Methanobacteriota; Halobacteria; Halobacteriales; Halobacteriaceae. The record is from RNAcentral.
AUUCCGGUUGAUCCUGCCGGAGGACAUUGCUAUUGGGAUUCGAUUUAGCCAUGCUAGUCGAGCGAGUUCAGACUCGCGGCGAAUAGCUCAGUAACACGUGGCCAAGCUCCCCUUCAGUCAGCGAUACCCUCGGGAAACUGAGGUUAACAGCUGAUACAAAACGCCAGCUGGAAUGCGGCGUUUCAGAAAGACAUCGCUGAAGGAUGCGGCUGCGGCCGAUUAGGUAGACGGUGGGGUAACGGCCCACCGUACCAGUAAUCGGUACGGGUGAUGAGAGUCAGAGCCCGGAGACGGAAUCUGAGACAAGAUUCCGGGCCCUACGGGGCGCAGCAGGCGCGAAACCUUUACACUGCACGGAAGUGCGAUAGGGGGAUUCCGAGUGCGAGGGCAUAUUAGCCCUCGCUUUUCUCGACUGUAAGGUGGUCGACGAAUAAGAGCUGGGCAAGACCGGUGCCAGCCGCCGCGGUAAUACCGGCAGCUCAAGUGAUGUCCCAUAUUAUUGGGCCUAAAGCGUCCGUAGCU